This 366-nucleotide ribosomal RNA is filed under the name Burmoniscus ocellatus. RNAcentral's name for it is "partial 12S ribosomal RNA". The record is from RNAcentral. Lineage: Eukaryota; Metazoa; Arthropoda; Malacostraca; Isopoda; Philosciidae.
GGAUUAGAUACCCUAUUAUAUUUUAGUAACCCUACUUUAGGUAGUAGUUGCUAUACUCUUGAAACCUAAAGAAUUUGGCGGUGUUUAUUUAAAUCAGAGGACCUUGCUAAGUAAACGAUAAUCCACGUUAAAUCUUACUUUUUUAAUGUUUGUAUACCGUCAUCUAAAUACCUUUUUAGAAAAAGAGUGUUAUAUUUUUUCUUAAAUUUAAGUUAGAUCAAGGUGUAGCCUUUAAAAGUUCUAGUGAGGUACAGUUUAUAUUUAAUUGGAUUAGUAUUUUAACAAUACUGAGAAAUAGGAUUUGAACGUAAUUUCUAUUUAAUAAGUAAAUAUGAGUAGUUAAUUAAACAUGUACACAUCGCCCGU